Molecule: small nuclear RNA, 310 nt
Filed under: Erinaceus europaeus (western European hedgehog)
Lineage: Eukaryota; Metazoa; Chordata; Mammalia; Eulipotyphla; Erinaceidae
Description: 7SK RNA
Rfam family: 7SK RNA
About the family: 7SK was discovered as an abundant small nuclear RNA in the mid-70s but a possible function has only recently been suggested. Two independent studies have found that 7SK RNA binds the CDK9/cyclin T complex (known as elongation factor P-TEFb). P-TEFb activates transcription by phosphorylating the C-terminal domain of RNA polymerase II.
Source: Rfam by way of RNAcentral
GGAUGUGAGAGUGAUCUGGCUGCGACAUCUGUCACCCCAUUGAUUGCCAGGGUUGAUUCGGCUGAUCUGGCUGGCUAGGCGGGUGUCCCCUUCCUCCCUCACCGCUCCAUGUGCGUCCCUCCCUAAACUGCAUGCUUGGUUGAAGAGGAUGGCCUUCCCUGAAUAAAGAUGGACUGGUCUUCGGUAGAGGGUAUUCGAGUAGCUGCACUCCCCUGCUAGAACCUCCAAACAAGCUCUCAAGAGUUAAUAACACACACACACACACACACACACACACACACACGAGUUAAUAAUAGAGCUAAACUAUUGU